CAGCACCUCAAGUGGUCAGGAUGAUUAUUGGGCCUAAAGCAUCCGUAGCCGGCGCUGUAAGUUUUCGGUUAAAUCUGUACGCUCAACGUACAGGCUGCCGGGAAUACUGCAGCGCUAGGGAGUGGGAGAGGUAGACGGUACUCGGUAGGAAGGGGUAAAAUCCUUUGAUCUAUUGAUGACCACCUGUGGCGAAGGCGGUCUACCAGAACACGUCCGACGGUGAGGGAUGAAAGCUGGGGGAGCAAACCGGAUUAGAUACCCGAGUAGUCU
This 270-nucleotide ribosomal RNA is filed under the name uncultured archaeon. RNAcentral describes it as "partial 16S ribosomal RNA". It matches the Rfam family "Archaeal small subunit ribosomal RNA", at positions 477 to 747 of the family's 1478-position model. The record is from RNAcentral.